AUUGAACGCUGGCGGCAGGCCUAACACAUGCAAGUCGAACGAGUGGCGGACGGGUGAGUAAUGUCUGGGAACCUGCCCGAUGGAGGGGGAUAACUACUGGAAACGGUAGCUAAUACCGCAUACCAUCGGAUGUGCCCAGAUGGGAUUAGCUAGUAGGUGGGGUAACGGCUCACCUAGGCGACGAUCCCUAGCUGGUCUGAGAGGAGGAGCGUACACCUGGGAACGGAGACCCGGUCCAGACUCCUACGGGAGGCAGCAGGGGGGAAUAUUGCACAAUGGGCGCAAGCCGGAUGCAGCCAUGCCGCGUGUAUGAAGAAGGCCUUCGGGUUUAAAAGUACUUUCAGCGAGGAGGCGUUACUCGAAGAAGAAGCACCGGCUAACUCCGUGCCAGCAGCCGCGGUAAUUC
RNAcentral lists this ribosomal RNA (406 nucleotides) under uncultured bacterium. RNAcentral's name for it is "partial 16S ribosomal RNA". It matches the Rfam family "Bacterial small subunit ribosomal RNA", at positions 30 to 526 of the family's 1533-position model. The record is from RNAcentral.